RNAcentral lists this ribosomal RNA (467 nucleotides) under uncultured bacterium. RNAcentral describes it as "partial 16S ribosomal RNA". It matches the Rfam family "Bacterial small subunit ribosomal RNA", at positions 28 to 507 of the family's 1533-position model. The record is from RNAcentral.
GACGAACGCUGGCGGCGUGCUUAACACAUGCAAGUCGAACGGAAAGGCCCUGCUUUUGUGGGGUGCUCGAGUGGCGAACGGGUGAGUAACACGUGAGUAACCUGCCCUUGACUUUGGGAUAACUUCAGGAAACUGGGGCUAAUACCGGAUAGGAGCUCCUGCUGCAUGGUGGGGGUUGGAAAGUUUCGGCGGUUGGGGAUGGACUCGCGGCUUAUCAGCUUGUUGGUGGGGUAGUGGCUUACCAAGGCUUUGACGGGUAGCCGGCCUGAGAGGGUGACCGGCAACAUGGGGACGGAGAUACGGCCCAGACUCCUACGGGAGGCAGCGGUGGGGAAUAUGGCACAAGGGGCGGAGGCCUGAGGCAGCAACGCCGCGGGGGGGAGGACGCCUUUCGGUUUGAAAACGGCUUUCGCCUGGGACGAGGCGGGGGGGACGGAAAGGGUUAAGAAGCACCGGCUAACUACGUG